Molecule: long non-coding RNA, 201 nt
Filed under: Citrus sinensis (sweet orange)
Lineage: Eukaryota; Viridiplantae; Streptophyta; Magnoliopsida; Sapindales; Rutaceae
Description: long non-coding RNA (CSIN_LNC002543)
Source: RNAcentral
CCGCAGCAACUGAAUCUUUGAUUGGAGCGACGGUGUCAUUUGAAUUCGAACAACAGCGUGGUGCGGCUGUGGUGCUACGGUGAGAUUCGAACGGAUUCACGCGCAUAUUUCAUUUUUCCAUUUAGGUAUUCAAGUGUUUGAGUUGAUGGCUCUAUAAAGCCAAAUAAAUAAAUAAAUAAAUAAUAAUAAUAAUAAUCUAUU